This 302-nucleotide ribosomal RNA is filed under the name Lopaphus perakensis. Its description in RNAcentral is "partial 12S ribosomal RNA". Lineage: Eukaryota; Metazoa; Arthropoda; Insecta; Phasmatodea; Lonchodidae. The record is from RNAcentral.
GCGGUGUUUUAGUCUAUUUAGAGGAAUUUGCCCUUUGAUCGAUAAUCCUCGUUUUAUCUUACUUUAUUUUGUUUAUCAAUAUGUAUACCGCCGUUAUAAGUUUAUUUUAUAAGAAAAUUAAUUUACUUUAAUCUUAAUUAUGAUUUAUUUCAGGUCAAGGUGCAGUUUAUGAUAAAGUAGAGGUGAAUUACAAUAUUAUUUUAAUAAAUGGAUGUUUUUUUAAAAAUUUAUUGAAGGUGGAUUUAAUUGUAAUUUUUGUAAUAAUGCUUAUUUGAUUUUAGCUCUAAAAUGAGCACACAUCG